GAAAGACUCCUGCUGCUUCCUACUAGACGUGAGGCUUGCACUGCUCCCGCCAUGGAGCUCAGAUCAUGCCCUGGAGAAGCAGGUGACAUCGCGGAAUUUUCCUGUUCCAGAUGCCAGAAGUCUGAAAUGAAGGUGUAAAGCAGGGUGGUUCCUUCUGGAGGCUCUGAGAGAAUCACCCCAGGCCUCUCUCCAGCUUCUGGUGCUGGUAUUCUCAGGCUUGUAGGCGCAUCACCCAUGUCUGCCUCCAUCUUCACAUGGCCUUCUCCUCUGUGUCUGCCUGAAGUCUCCCUUCAUUUCUCUUGUAAGGACAUCAGUCAUUGGAUUUAGAGCCCACCCUAAACCCAGAAUGAUCUCAUCUCAAGAUUACAUCUGCACAGACGCUAUUUCCAGAUAAGGUCACAGUCAAAGUGCUGGCUUGUGUUUGACACCAUGCCUGACACAUUGGGGGUGCUCAGUAGACCUGUGUGAGAUGGACAGCCUCCCGUACAGAUGGACGGACAGAUGUACAGCCCCGUGGAGAUGCCCUGUGUAAGCCACUGAAGCCUCUGGCCAACAGCAGUGGGAACCUGAGACGUGUCCACAAGCAUGCAUGGGAGCUUGGAAGUGGAUCCUUCAGCCCCAGCCAAGCCUUCAGACGAUGCAGCCUCAGGGACAGUAUGACUGCAGCCUCAUGAGACCCUGAGCCAGAAACACCCCUCCAAGCCACUCCCAGAUGCCUGGCCCUCAGAACCUGGGAGGUAAUAAAUAUUUAUGGCUGUUUGAAGCUGCUGUAUCGGGGGACAAUUUGUUACACAGUAAUAGCUAACUGGUGCAGUCCUGGGACUCUUAGCAGUUUGGAGUAUCAGUUAUUUUGCCAAGGCGGGGAAGUUAACAGUGGUCAUUGCAGCAGCUGCACUUGGGGACCACAAUAAAGAAGCUUUCUCAGACUGGUUUGAACAAAGUGGUGAAUUCUCUGCAAGGACACAGAGGUGUCUCUCAAAACCCAAGGAUGGGACAGCAGGCCUCAAGAAGAACUGGAACCUCUGUCCCUUCUGUGCUUCUUUUUACUCCUGUGUUCUCUGCUUCUUGGAGCACUUGGCAGUUGGGAAGUGGCCAUUUCAAUUCUCGUGGUCAAGAAACCAGCUCAGAAAUAACCCAACCAACACAGGUGGGGUCAGGUGUCCAUCCUGGCUCCAUUUGUCAUGGCGGGAGAUGGUGAUGAAGAGAAACAUCCAGGACCAUUGGUAGGGCACCCGAAUGAGAUUCCAGGAGAGGCCAGUUCUAAGAGAAGGGUACUAGAAAGAUACCCAUUGAAGUCAAUACCACAUGUGGCACAUCCUCCUUUCAGGUGGCAAGUGUGUAGCCAAAGCAAGGUUCAGGGUCCAUAUUUGAAAGUCAGAAACUGAAUAAACUGUUUUCUCCCACCCCGAGCACUGUGGGGAACUCUGCUCACAAAUCCACCAUCCACCAUCACCAGCCGUGCUCAUCUGACCAUUCAUGCAGGCUCACACUUGACCUGAUGUGGGUUCUGUCUCCUUUGCUUGAGAAUUGAAAGGCCUGGGAGAUGCAAAAGCUUUAGGCUCCAGCCAUCUCCCCAUGUCAGGUAGGCCUUUUGCCUAGUGUAUCCAGUUGGUAAUGCUGCAGAGAUGCAUGAAGCUGGAGUCAGAGGCCACCUGUAGUGCUGCCCUGACUUCAGACCUGAGCCCAGCCCAGCAGCAGAGAGGGGGCUGGGAGCCAGAGGAGGCCUCACAGUAACAGCACAGACAGGUGGGGGCCCACAACAGGCCACAUGUGUUCAAACUCGAGUGUGGGCAGAGGAGCAUGGGAAGCUCAGAGCCCUGAGCUCACCCCACACCCAACACGAGUGGGGUCACCCAAAAUCAGCCUGUCAGCACUGUCCCAGCAGCCAGUCGCAUGCUACAUUAACAAAUUUUGCACAGGCCAGCAAGCAGGAUCGCUCACCAGCCACCCUCCUGAACUGGCCUAUGGGGCCCCAGGAUGAUGCCAUAGCCACAAGUCUGGAGUUCCUCAAAGUACCUGGUCAGCACAACUCAGUUAAACAAUGGGCAAAAGACCUGAACAGACACUUCGCCAGAGAAGAUGUACAGAUGCAAGUAAGCAUUUGAAAAGGUGCCCCACAUCGUAUGUCGUUAGGGAAUGGUCCAAUCCAGAACACUGAUGGCACCAAAGGCUGCUGAGCAUGUGGAGCAGCAGAACUCUCAUUCACUGCUGGUGAGAAAAAUGGCGCAGCCCCAAUAGGGAACCCUAAUGCAGACUCUGGACUUCACUGGAAAUGACGUGUCAGUGUAGCUGCGUCAGUUGUAACAAAUGCACCAGUCUGGUGGGCGUGUUGAUAACCGGGGCUGCGCACGUGGGGAGAGAGGACCUGUGGGAAUGCUCUACUUUCCACUCAUUUUUGCUGUGAACUUAAAACUGCUCUUACAAAAUAACAUUGUUUGUUGUUGUUGUUGUUGUUGUUGUUGUUGUUGUUUUUAAGUAUCUAGUCAGCUCCACACAUGACCCGGGCAGAGUGGGAAGUUGUAGAGUGCCCCAAGGAGAGAAAUGGAACCAGGUCUCAUGUGGGGCCAAGUGUGGGCUCCCUGUCCUCUCAGCUGGUCCCAGGAACUGAAGGGAAAUUUAGACAACUUGGAGAAAGACACUCUAGGGCUCGGGGCAAAGGGUGGUGUUGAUGAGAACCAUAUUUUUUUAUUGCUGGUGUAAGCACUUGUAUUUUUCUGAUUUUCCACUGGUUCGAUAAUAAGGGUAAAAGACAAUAAAGCAUACUUUUUAAGCUUU
This 2775-nucleotide long non-coding RNA is filed under the name Homo sapiens (human). RNAcentral describes it as "uncharacterized LOC105369367, transcript variant 2 (LOC105369367)". Lineage: Eukaryota; Metazoa; Chordata; Mammalia; Primates; Hominidae. The record is from RNAcentral.